RNAcentral lists this ribosomal RNA (253 nucleotides) under uncultured bacterium. RNAcentral's name for it is "partial 16S ribosomal RNA". It matches the Rfam family "Bacterial small subunit ribosomal RNA", at positions 524 to 776 of the family's 1533-position model. The record is from RNAcentral.
GACGGGGGAUGCAAGCGGUAUCCGGAAUCACUGGGCGUAAAGCGACUGUAGGUGGUGAUGCAAGUCACUGGUGCAAAACUCUGGCUCAACCGGAGGAAAGCCAGUGAAACUGCAUGACUAGAGUGUGGGAGAGGUAGAAGGAAUUCCCUGAGUAGCGGUGAAAUGCGUAGAUACAGGGAAGAACACCGGAGGCGAAAGCGUUCUACUGGAACACAACUGACACUGAUAGACUAAAGCUAGGGGAGCGAAUGGG